Odocoileus virginianus texanus is the source of this 577-nucleotide non-coding RNA. The record is from RefSeq and is a predicted model, not a curated record. NCBI's taxonomy places the organism in Eukaryota, Metazoa, Chordata, Mammalia, Artiodactyla, Cervidae.
CCGUCUGAAAUGACCUGCCUCCUCUUCUGUUUUUCCUUCCAAGCCCAGCUGGGGGCCACUUCCUGGAGGAAGCCUUCCCUGACUUCCAAGGCAAAGCCCUUGGUGCCCUCCUCUGAGUGUUUUCCCCUUAGAUUUUUAUCACGUCUAAUUACUGCACUCACAUCUAUCUGCCUUUUGGAUCAUAAGCACCCGAGGACAACUUCUCCAGUUCCUGCUACCAGCUCAAACAAAACUAAACCACUAGUCUUCCCUUGGAAACUUUGUCUACAGAGGCAGAGCUUAAUUCUGGAGAAGACUUUGCCUCCAUGUCAUUAGUCAAGAAGGUUUCAGAUCACAUCCAGGACUUCAUGCUGAAUGUCAUUAAGUGUUCAGUGUUUGGAACUCCCAGCUCAUCCUGACUUGGAAGCAAGUUUAUUUAUUCAGCAUAAAAGGAAGUAUUUGAACUCACAGAGUGUGAUUCUCUGCAACUUUUAAAAGCAGCAAGACUGGACAGACAACUUUUAGGACAAUAAGACAUAUUUCUCUGUUCUGAAUAUUUUUUGCUAUCUUAACUAGACAAUUCUAGCUAUGUAGGAGC